This 253-nucleotide ribosomal RNA is filed under the name uncultured bacterium. RNAcentral's name for it is "partial 16S ribosomal RNA". It matches the Rfam family "Bacterial small subunit ribosomal RNA", at positions 524 to 776 of the family's 1533-position model. The record is from RNAcentral.
UACGGAGGAUGCAAGCGUUAUCCGGAAUUAUUGGGCGUAAAGCGUCCGUAGGUGGCCAUGCAAGUCUGCUGUCAAAGCAUGGAGCUUAACUCCAUAGAGGCAGUGGAAACUGAAUAGCUAGAGUUCGGUAGGGGUAGCGGGAAUUCCCAGUGUAGCGGUUAAGUGCGUAGAGACUGGGAAGAACAUCGGUGUCGAAAGCGCGCUACUGGGCCGAAACUGUCACUGAGGGACGAAAGCUAGGGGGGCGAAAGGG